UACAGAGGAGCCAAGCGUUGUCCGGAUUGACUGGGCGUAAAGCGCACGCAGGCGGAUGCGCGCGUGGGGUGUGAAAUCUGGCCGCUUAACGGCCAGGCGCCAUCCCAUACGGCGCGUCUGGAGUGAUGCAGGGGUCGAUGGAAUUGCCGGUGUAGUGGCGAAAUGCGUAGAGAUCGGCAGGAACACCCAGGGGGAAACCAGUCGACUGGGCAUCUACUGACGCUGAGGUGCGAGAGCGUGGGGAGCGAACCGG
This 253-nucleotide ribosomal RNA is filed under the name uncultured bacterium. RNAcentral describes it as "partial 16S ribosomal RNA". It matches the Rfam family "Bacterial small subunit ribosomal RNA", at positions 524 to 776 of the family's 1533-position model. The record is from RNAcentral.